GGUCGGGUGUCCGAGCGGUCCAAGGAGUUACGUUCAGGUCGUAAUCUGCUUCUGCAGGCGCGGGUUCGAAUCCCGUCCCGACCA
This is a transfer RNA of Salpingoeca sp., 84 nucleotides long. It matches the Rfam family "tRNA". From Rfam's summary of the family: Transfer RNA (tRNA) molecules are approximately 80 nucleotides in length. NCBI's taxonomy places the organism in Eukaryota, Choanoflagellata, Craspedida, Salpingoecidae. The record is from Rfam.